UACGUAGGUGGCAAGCGUUGUCCGGAAUUAUUGGGCGUAAAGCGCGCGCAGGUGGUUCCAAAAGUCUGAUGUGAAAGCCCCCGGCUCAACCGGGGAGGGUCAUUGGAAACUGGGGAACUUGAGUGCAGGAGAGGAAAGUGGAAUUCCACGUGUAGCGGUGAAAUGCGUAGAUAUGUGGAGGAACACCAGUGGCGAAGGCGACUUUCUGGCCUGUAACUGACACUGAGGCGCGAAAGCGUGGGGAGCAAACAGG
This 253-nucleotide ribosomal RNA is filed under the name uncultured bacterium. RNAcentral's name for it is "partial 16S ribosomal RNA". It matches the Rfam family "Bacterial small subunit ribosomal RNA", at positions 524 to 776 of the family's 1533-position model. RNAcentral also lists the same sequence under 1 other name. The record is from RNAcentral.